Molecule: ribosomal RNA, 492 nt
Filed under: uncultured bacterium
Lineage: Bacteria
Description: partial 16S ribosomal RNA
Rfam family: Bacterial small subunit ribosomal RNA
Source: RNAcentral
AGUGAACGCUGGCGGUAGGCCUAACACAUGCAAGUCGAACGGCAGCACAGUAAGAGCUUGCUCUUACGGGUGGCGAGUGGCGGACGGGUGAGGAAUACAUCGGUAUCUACUUUUUCGUGGGGGAUAACGUAGGGAAACUUACGCUAAUACCGCAUACGACCUACGGGUGAAAGCAGGGGAUCUUCGGCCCUUGCGCGAUUGAAUGAGCCGAUGUCGGAUUAGCUAGUUGGCGGGGUAAAGGCCCACCAAGGCGACGAUCCGUAGCUGGUCUGAGAGGAUGAUCAGCCACACUGGAACUGAGACACGGUCCAGACUCCUACGGGAGGCAGCAGUGGGGAAUAUUGGACAAUGGGCGCAAGCCUGAUCCAGCCAUACCGCGUGGGUGAAGAAGGCCUUCGGGUUGUAAAGCCCUUUUGUUGGGAAAGAAAAGCAGCAGGUUAAUACCCCGCUGUUCUGACGGUACCCAAAGAAUAAGCACCGGCUAACUUCGUG